UACGGAGGGUGCGAGCGUUAUCCGGAAUUACUGGGUUUAAAGGGUGCGUAGGCGGCGCUGUAAGUCAGGAGUGAAAGUUUGCGGCUCAACCGUAAAAUUGCUUUCGAUACUGCGGUGCUGGAAUUAGGAUGAGGUCAGCGGAAUGUGGCAUGUAGCGGUGAAAUGCAUAGAUAUGCCAUAGAACACCAAUUGCGAAGGCAGCUGGCUAGACCUGGAUUGACGCUGAGGCACGAAAGCGUGGGGAGCGAACAGG
Molecule: ribosomal RNA, 253 nt
Filed under: uncultured bacterium
Lineage: Bacteria
Description: partial 16S ribosomal RNA
Rfam family: Bacterial small subunit ribosomal RNA
Source: RNAcentral